CUGUUGAGGACAUACAUAAUGUACAAUACAAUUGGAAAAUAGCAGUGUGUCUGCUCUGAGAGACAAUGUGACUCAACUUUCUUCUAAACCGAAGAAUUGUAGAAUCAUGGCAUUUUCCAUGAGCCUACAUUUGGAGUGUGUAUGGUGAAUGCUGAUGGACGACAGUGGAGGUUAGUGAGUAUUUACAUUAUGAUUGUAGAUAUUAUCAGCAUAUGUCGAUGAACACAGAAGAAGGUACACAGGGAUGGAAAAAAUGAAAAAUGUGCCGUCUUGUACCAGACACAAUGCUUGAAUGUGAAAUUUCGGAGAGAAAGCGUAGCUGUGGAUAUUGUUCAGAGACAACCAUUAUAGUGUUACGGAGUUGCAUAGAAGAUUUGGUUGCUUCUCAAGACACAGGCCAUUGUGUUGGGUUGUAUGGUUUGUGAGUAUGUGUCCAGAUUACUUGCAGAAUAGAUAGACAAGCGUAGGAGCUAAGUGAAUUGUGAAGAUGAACUCUAUUUGUUAGUAGGUAUAGUUAAUAAUUGAGCUUUCGGAAUAGCUGAGUUCGGUUGUCAUGACUUUUCCUCUUGUGCAUAACAUGUUGAGUAUUUGAUGUGUUUCUGUAUGUACCAUGGGCGAGUGUAUUUUGUGUUGUUGUGUCUGAGUUUGUUCCGUUCAUAAAUUUUGAGUACAUGGUGAGUGAAGAGGUCCUUUAUGACAGGUACUUAGCUUAAAUAAGGAUGACUAAUAGAUACAUAUGUUGUGUAGUUAGAAUCGAUAUGGGGAAUAGUUGUCAUACUGGGGAACAGUGUAGUUACCGGUAUCUGCAUUCGUUUGAAAGUGACACUGGGAUAGAACAAAAUGUGUUAUGAAAGCAUUGCUUGUGAUAAUUGUUUGUAUGUAACGUGUCAUUGGUGACGCAUUUCUUGCUUUGACAGGAUGAAGCAGGCUAGAGAAUGUUUACCCUUUUCACCAAUUCCUGCUAAGGAUGUGAGCCACUCCAUGCUGCGAAGCCAUGGGAUAUGACAGAGAGGUUUACUAAGAGUUUCUGAAACUCGUUGAGAGGCAGUGUUGCAUUAUUACUUGGGCUGGUACCAUUUACUGUUACUUGUGUAUUGUUGAGGGAAAUCAGUGUGCUAGAAGUAACGUAUAUUCAAGGCAGACAUGCAAAUGCGAAAAGCUUGUGCGCAUCAAUGUGAGAUUUAAAGCACAACGUGGAAUGUUACUGAGGAUGAAGCAGGCUAGAGAAUGUUUACCCUUUUCACCAAUUCCUGCUAAGGAUGUGAGCCACUCCAUGCUGCGAAGCCAUGGGAUAUGACAGAGAGGUUUACUAAGAGUUUCUGAAACUCGUUGAGAGGCAGUGUUGCAUUAUUACUUGGGCUGGUACCAUUUACUGUUACUUGUGUAUUGUUGAGGGAAAUCAGUGUGCUAGAAGUAACGUAUAUUCAAGGCAGACAUGCAAAUGCGAAAAGCUUGUGCGCAUCAAUGUGAGAUUUAAAGCACAACGUGGAAUGUUACUGAGGAUGAAGCAGGCUAGAGAAUGUUUACCCUUUUCACCAAUUCCUGCUAAGGAUGUGAGCCACUCCAUGCUGCGAAGCCAUGGGAUAUGACAGAGAGGUUUACUAAGAGUUUCUGAAACUCGUUGAGAGGCAGUGUUGCAUUAUUACUUGGGCUGGUACCAUUUACUGUUACUUGUGUAUUGUUGAGGGAAAUCAGUGUGCUAGAAGUAACGUAUAUUCAAGGCAGACAUGCAAAUGCGAAAAGCUUGUGCGCAUCAAUGUGAGAUUUAAAGCACAACGUGGAAUGUUACUGAGGUAAGGAAUGGUGAUUGGGCGCCUUAGUUUUGUAGUAAAUUUAAUUUGUCCGGAAGAGACGUUGAUUGCAAUUUUAUUAUGUGUGAUGUAUUUAAUAUUACCUAAAACUUGCAAAGUGCGUGAUUUGAUAUGACACCUUGAGAGAAAUACGUUCUGGUCUUUAGUUAUGUGCAUAUUUCUAAUGUUGAAAUGUUAAUUGUAUUUGGAUUGGCAAAUUUGUUGAAUUAUGUAAUGUCAGUCAGUUGAAGUGUUGUUUUAAUAUAAAAGACCACUGCAGCAUCACAAGUGUUGCACAGUGCAACUGAGUAAUGCGAAAUGUUUUGGAGUGACACCCCAAAUGAUUAUGCU
Long non-coding RNA from Schistocerca piceifrons (Central American locust), 2141 nucleotides. RefSeq lists it as uncharacterized. The transcript has 3 exons. The record is from RefSeq and is a predicted model, not a curated record. Lineage: Eukaryota; Metazoa; Arthropoda; Insecta; Orthoptera; Acrididae.